RNAcentral lists this ribosomal RNA (324 nucleotides) under Triticum aestivum (bread wheat). RNAcentral's name for it is "partial small subunit ribosomal RNA". Lineage: Eukaryota; Viridiplantae; Streptophyta; Magnoliopsida; Poales; Poaceae. The record is from RNAcentral.
AUGGCAGUCUACGUGUCCCCGGCGAACAGGUCACGAUACAUAGGUCAGAACGAACAGGUCACCGGUGCACAGGUCCAGGGCAUUCCGAUCGCGGUGCACGGGUUUGGUGUCUUGCUUCCUGGACGAGACGGCGGGGCGGAGUCGAAACUCGCCAACGACGCAGCCCGAGACCCGUCUUUCCCUUCGUGGCAUACUCAAGAUUACGGGUGUACAGAUUUAGCACCACGUUUCUUAGAGGAGACGGUGUGGCAGAACCGGACCUCGUUGACGACGCAACCCGGGACUCGCUCCCCCCUUCAUGGCGUACAUAUCUUUGUUCGAUAA